This 1484-nucleotide ribosomal RNA is filed under the name Helicobacter pylori. Its description in RNAcentral is "bacterial SSU rRNA". It matches the Rfam family "Bacterial small subunit ribosomal RNA". The record is from RNAcentral. Lineage: Bacteria; Pseudomonadati; Campylobacterota; Epsilonproteobacteria; Campylobacterales; Helicobacteraceae.
AGAGUUUGAUCCUGGCUCAGAGUGAACGCUGGCGGCGUGCCUAAUACAUGCAAGUCGAACGAUGAAGCUUCUAGCUUGCUAGAAUGCUGAUUAGUGGCGCACGGGUGAGUAACGCAUAGGUCAUGUGCCUCUUAGUUUGGGAUAGCCAUUGGAAACGAUGAUUAAUACCAGAUACUCCCUACGGGGGAAAGAUUUAUCGCUAAGAGAUCAGCCUAUGUCCUAUCAGCUUGUUGGUAAGGUAAUGGCUUACCAAGGCUAUGACGGGUAUCCGGCCUGAGAGGGUGAACGGACACACUGGAACUGAGACACGGUCCAGACUCCUACGGGAGGCAGCAGUAGGGAAUAUUGCUCAAUGGGGGAAACCCUGAAGCAGCAACGCCGCGUGGAGGAUGAAGGUUUUAGGAUUGUAAACUCCUUUUGUUAGAGAAGAUAAUGACGGUAUCUAACGAAUAAGCACCGGCUAACUCCGUGCCAGCAGCCGCGGUAAUACGGAGGGUGCAAGCGUUACUCGGAAUCACUGGGCGUAAAGAGCGCGUAGGCGGGAUAGUCAGUCAGGUGUGAAAUCCUAUGGCUUAACCAUAGAACUGCAUUUGAAACUACUAUUCUAGAGUGUGGGAGAGGUAGGUGGAAUUCUUGGUGUAGGGGUAAAAUCCGUAGAGAUCAAGAGGAAUACUCAUUGCGAAGGCGACCUGCUGGAACAUUACUGACGCUGAUUGUGCGAAAGCGUGGGGAGCAAACAGGAUUAGAUACCCUGGUAGUCCACGCCCUAAACGAUGGAUGCUAGUUGUUGGAGGGCUUAGUCUCUCCAGUAAUGCAGCUAACGCAUUAAGCAUCCCGCCUGGGGAGUACGGUCGCAAGAUUAAAACUCAAAGGAAUAGACGGGGACCCGCACAAGCGGUGGAGCAUGUGGUUUAAUUCGAAGAUACACGAAGAACCUUACCUAGGCUUGACAUUGAGAGAAUCCGCUAGAAAUAGUGGAGUGUCUGGCUUGCCAGACCUCGAAAACAGGUGCUGCACGGCUGUCGUCAGCUCGUGUCGUGAGAUGUUGGGUUAAGUCCCGCAACGAGCGCAACCCCCUUUCUUAGUUGCUAACAGGUCAUGCUGAGAACUCUAAGGAUACUGCCUCCGUAAGGAGGAGGAAGGUGGGGACGACGUCAAGUCAUCAUGGCCCUUACGCCUAGGGCUACACACGUGCUACAAUGGGGUGCACAAAGAGAAGCAAUACUGCGAAGUGGAGCCAAUCUUCAAAACACCUCUCAGUUCGGAUUGUAGGCUGCAACUCGCCUGCAUGAAGCUGGAAUCGCUAGUAAUCGCAAAUCAGCCAUGUUGCGGUGAAUACGUUCCCGGGUCUUGUACUCACCGCCCGUCACACCAUGGGAGUUGUGUUUGCCUUAAGUCAGGAUGCUAAAUUGGCUACUGCCCACGGCACACACAGCGACUGGGGUGAAGUCGUAACAAGGUAACCGUAGGUGAACCUGCGGUUG